AACGAACGCUGGCGGCAGGCUUAACACAUGCAAGUCGAACGGGCGUAGCAAUACGUCAGUGGCAGACGGGUGAGUAACACGUGGGAACCUUCCUAGGGGUACGGAACAACUCAGGGAAACUUGAGCUAAUACCGUAUACGUCCGUGAGGAGAAAGAUUUAUCGCCCUUAGACGGGCCCGCGUCGGAUUAGGUAGUUGGUGGGUAACGGCCUACCAAGCCUACGAUCCGUAGCUGAUCUGAGAGGANGAUCAGCCACACUGGGACUGAGACACGGCCCAGACUCCUACGGGAGGCAGCAGUGGGGAAUCUUGGACAAUGGGCGCAAGCCUGAUCCAGCCAUGCCGCGUGAGUGAAGAAGGCCUUAGGGUUGUAAAGC
Molecule: ribosomal RNA, 376 nt
Filed under: uncultured bacterium
Lineage: Bacteria
Description: bacterial SSU rRNA
Rfam family: Bacterial small subunit ribosomal RNA
Source: RNAcentral